RNAcentral lists this ribosomal RNA (447 nucleotides) under uncultured bacterium. RNAcentral describes it as "bacterial SSU rRNA". It matches the Rfam family "Bacterial small subunit ribosomal RNA", at positions 329 to 793 of the family's 1533-position model. The record is from RNAcentral.
CCCCAGACUCCUACGGGAGGCAGCAGUGGGGAAUAUUGCACAAUGGGGGAAACCCUGAUGCAGCGACGCCGCGUGAGUGAAGAAGUAUUUCGGUAUGUAAAGCUCUAUCAGCAGGGAAGAAAAUGACGGUACCUGACCAAGAAGCCCCGGCUAACUACGUGCCAGCAGCCGCGGUAAUACGUAGGGGGCAAGCGUUAUCCGGAUUUACUGGGUGUAAAGGGAGCGUAGACGGUUGCGCAAGUCAGAAGUGAAAGCCCGGGGCUCAACUCCGGGACUGCUUUUGAAACUGUGAAACUGGAGUGCAGGAGAGGUAAGCGGAAUUCCUGGUGUAGCGGUGAAAUGCGUAGAUAUCAGGAGGAACGCCAGUGGCGAAGGCGGCUUACUGGACUGUAACUGACGUUGAGGCUCGAAAGCGUGGGGAACAAACAGGAUUAGAUACCCUAGUAA